AGUGGAAAGUUUACUCUGUGACGGUAGCUUAUCAGAAAGGGACGGCUAACUACGUGCCAGCAGCCGCGGUAAUACGUAGGUCCCGAGCGUUGUCCGGAUUUAUUGGGCGUAAAGCGAGCGCAGGUGGUUUAAUAAGUCUGAAGUUAAAGGCAUUGGCUCAACCAAUGUACGCUUUGGAAACUGUUAAACUUGAGUGCAGAAGGGGAGAGUGGAAUUCCAUGUGUAGCGGUGAAAUGCGUAGAUAUAUGGAGGAACACCGGUGGCGAAAGCGGCUCUCUGGUCUGUAACUGACACUGAGGCUCGAAAGCGUGGGUAGCGAACAGGAUUAGAUACCCUGGUAGUCCACGCCGUAAACGAUGAGUGCUAGGUGUUGGGUCCUUUCCGGGACUCAGUGCCGCAGCUAACGCAUUAAGCACUCCGCCUGGGGAGUACGACCGCAAGGUUGAAACUCAAAGGAAUUGACGGGGGCCCGCACAAGCGGUGGAGCAUGUGGUUUAAUUCGAAGCAACGCGAAGAACCUUACCAGGUCUUGACAUCCCGAUGCCCGUCCUAGAGAUAGGAUUUUACUUCGGUACAUCGGUGACAGGUGGUGCAUGGUUGUCGUCAGCUCGUGUCGUGAGAUGUUGGGUUAAGUCCCGCAACGAGCGCAACCCCUAUUGUUAGUUGCCAUCAUUCAGUUGGGCACUCUAGCGAGACUGCCGGUAAUAAACCGGAGGAAGGUGGGGAUGACGUCAAAUCAUCAUGCCCCUUAUGACCUGGGCUACACACGUGCUACAAUGGUCGGUACAACGAGCAGCGAACUGGUGACAGUAAGCCAAUCUCUUAAAGCCGAUCUCAGUUCGGAUUGUAGGCUGCAACUCGCCUACAUGAAGUCGGAAUCGCUAGUAAUCGCGGAUCANNACGCCGCGGUGAAUACGUUCCCGGGCCUUGUACACACCGCCCGUCACACCACGAGAGUUUGUAACACCCGAAGUCGGUGAGGUAACCUUUUAGGAGCNAGCCGCCUAAGGUGGNU
This 1015-nucleotide ribosomal RNA is filed under the name Streptococcus sp. N30721VB09_1492r. Its description in RNAcentral is "bacterial SSU rRNA". It matches the Rfam family "Bacterial small subunit ribosomal RNA", at positions 452 to 1467 of the family's 1533-position model. Lineage: Bacteria; Bacillati; Bacillota; Bacilli; Lactobacillales; Streptococcaceae. The record is from RNAcentral.